UACGUAGGGUGCAAGCGUUAAUCGGAAUUACUGGGCGUAAAGCGUGCGCAGGCGGUUUUGUAAGACAGAGGUGAAAUCCCCGGGCUCAACCUGGGAACUGCCUUUGUGACUGCAAGGCUAGAGUGCGGCAGAGGGGGAUGGAAUUCCGCGUGUAGCAGUGAAAUGCGUAGAUAUGCGGAGGAACACCGAUGGCGAAGGCAAUCCCCUGGGCCUGCACUGACGCUCAUGCACGAAAGCGUGGGGAGCAAACAGG
Molecule: ribosomal RNA, 253 nt
Filed under: uncultured bacterium
Lineage: Bacteria
Description: partial 16S ribosomal RNA
Rfam family: Bacterial small subunit ribosomal RNA
Source: RNAcentral